This 1540-nucleotide ribosomal RNA is filed under the name Staphylococcus aureus. RNAcentral's name for it is "16S ribosomal RNA". It matches the Rfam family "Bacterial small subunit ribosomal RNA". The record is from RNAcentral. Lineage: Bacteria; Bacillati; Bacillota; Bacilli; Caryophanales; Staphylococcaceae.
AGAGUUUGAUCCUGGCUCAGGAUGAACGCUGGCGGCGUGCCUAAUACAUGCAAGUCGAGCGAACGGACGAGAAGCUUGCUUCUCUGAUGUUAGCGGCGGACGGGUGAGUAACACGUGGAUAACCUACCUAUAAGACUGGGAUAACUUCGGGAAACCGGAGCUAAUACCGGAUAAUAUUUUGAACCGCAUGGUUCAAAAGUGAAAGACGGUCUUGCUGUCACUUAUAGAUGGAUCCGCGCUGCAUUAGCUAGUUGGUAAGGUAACGGCUUACCAAGGCAACGAUGCAUAGCCGACCUGAGAGGGUGAUCGGCCACACUGGAACUGAGACACGGUCCAGACUCCUACGGGAGGCAGCAGUAGGGAAUCUUCCGCAAUGGGCGAAAGCCUGACGGAGCAACGCCGCGUGAGUGAUGAAGGUCUUCGGAUCGUAAAACUCUGUUAUUAGGGAAGAACAUAUGUGUAAGUAACUGUGCACAUCUUGACGGUACCUAAUCAGAAAGCCACGGCUAACUACGUGCCAGCAGCCGCGGUAAUACGUAGGUGGCAAGCGUUAUCCGGAAUUAUUGGGCGUAAAGCGCGCGUAGGCGGUUUUUUAAGUCUGAUGUGAAAGCCCACGGCUCAACCGUGGAGGGUCAUUGGAAACUGGAAAACUUGAGUGCAGAAGAGGAAAGUGGAAUUCCAUGUGUAGCGGUGAAAUGCGCAGAGAUAUGGAGGAACACCAGUGGCGAAGGCGACUUUCUGGUCUGUAACUGACGCUGAUGUGCGAAAGCGUGGGGAUCAAACAGGAUUAGAUACCCUGGUAGUCCACGCCGUAAACGAUGAGUGCUAAGUGUUAGGGGGUUUCCGCCCCUUAGUGCUGCAGCUAACGCAUUAAGCACUCCGCCUGGGGAGUACGACCGCAAGGUUGAAACUCAAAGGAAUUGACGGGGACCCGCACAAGCGGUGGAGCAUGUGGUUUAAUUCGAAGCAACGCGAAGAACCUUACCAAAUCUUGACAUCCUUUGACAACUCUAGAGAUAGAGCCUUCCCCUUCGGGGGACAAAGUGACAGGUGGUGCAUGGUUGUCGUCAGCUCGUGUCGUGAGAUGUUGGGUUAAGUCCCGCAACGAGCGCAACCCUUAAGAUUAGUUGCCAUCAUUAAGUUGGGCACUCUAAGUUGACUGCCGGUGACAAACCGGAGGAAGGUGGGGAUGACGUCAAAUCAUCAUGCCCCUUAUGAUUUGGGCUACACACGUGCUACAAUGGACAAUACAAAGGGCAGCGAAACCGCGAGGUCAAGCAAAUCCCAUAAAGUUGUUCUCAGUUCGGAUUGUAGUCUGCAACUCGACUACAUGAAGCUGGAAUCGCUAGUAAUCGUAGAUCAGCAUGCUACGGUGAAUACGUUCCCGGGUCUUGUACACACCGCCCGUCACACCACGAGAGUUUGUAACACCCGAAGCCGGUGGAGUAACCUUUUAGGAGCUAGCCGUCGAAGGUGGGACAAAUGAUUGGGGUGAAGUCGUAACAAGGUAGCCGUAUCGGAAGGUGCGGCUGGAUCACCU